RNA transcript from Melozone crissalis (California towhee), 4693 nucleotides. It is a transcript of the gene named solute carrier family 38 member 1, with no coding region annotated. Lineage: Eukaryota; Metazoa; Chordata; Aves; Passeriformes; Passerellidae. The transcript is spliced from 17 exons. The record is from RefSeq and is a predicted model, not a curated record.
GCACACACCCGCGGCGGGAGGAGGAAGGGCAUCUUUCUCGUCGUUUUCGUUUCGCCAGUUUCAUUUACCCCCCUUCUCCCCCCUUUCUCUCUUUCUUCUUCUUCUUUCUUUUUUUUUUUUUUUUCAAUUAAAUUUUAUUUUAUUUUUAUCACUGUAAUUAUUUGUCGGGGUUCUCCAGUCGGAUCCCGGCGGAAAAGGUGGAUCGCUUCUCGGAGGGUCCCCGCGGCUCCUGGGGAAGGUUGUGGACACUGUGGCUCCAGUUUACUCACAAGAUACCAACCAAACACUAGUAUUUGAAGAUCCACUUGGAUAGGCACAGCUCCUCACCCAGCAUGCCUUUCAAAGCUGGAUUAGAACUGACCGAAUUGCAGAAUAUGACUGUCCCUGAAGAUGAUAACAUCAGCAAUGAUUCAAAUGAUUUCACAGAGGUGGAAAAUGGCCAGAUAAAUAGCAAGUUUAUUUCGGAUCGAGAAAGCAGAAGAAGUCUCACAAACAGCCACCUCGAGAAGAAGAAAUGUGAUGAAUAUAUCCCAGGAACUACUUCACUGGGAAUGUCUGUCUUCAACCUUAGCAAUGCAAUUAUGGGCAGUGGGAUUUUGGGUCUUGCUUUUGCCUUGGCCAACACAGGAAUUCUCCUUUUUCUGCUGCUUUUGGUUUCAGUCACGCUGCUGUCUAUUUAUUCAAUACAUCUCCUGUUGGUGUGUUCAAAGGAAACAGGCUGCAUGGUGUAUGAAAAGCUUGGUGAGCAGAUCUUUGGUACCCCAGGGAAAAUGAUUGUCUUUGGAUCUACAUCUCUUCAGAAUAUUGGAGCAAUGUUGAGCUAUCUCUUCAUAGUCAAAAAUGAGCUGCCUUCUGCCAUAAAGUUCCUAAUGGGAAAAGAAGAAACUUUUUCGGAAUGGUACGUGGAUGGGCGGAUUCUUGUUGUCGCAGUGACGCUUUGUAUAAUCCUCCCUUUAUGUCUCCUGAAGAACUUAGGAUACCUUGGCUAUACCAGUGGAUUUUCAUUAAGCUGCAUGGUAUUUUUCCUGGUAGUGGUUAUUUACAAGAAGUUUCAAAUUCCCUGUGAUGGACAAGGGCUAAAUGCAACAUCAUCUAUCCUAUCAAAUAGCUCAGAACAUACGUGUAAGCCAAAGUAUGUUAUCUUUAAUUCCAAGACCGUGUACGCUUUGCCCACCAUUGCUUUUGCGUUUGUGUGCCACCCAUCAGUCCUCCCGAUUUACAGCGAACUUAAAGACCGUUCACAGAAAAAAAUGCAGUUGGUUUCAAAUAUCUCAUUUUUUGCCAUGUUUCUGAUGUACUUUAUGACUGCCAUAUUUGGCUAUUUGACUUUCUACGAGAAUGUGCAGUCAGAUCUGCUUCACAAAUACCAGAGCAAAGAUGACAUCCUCAUCCUGACUGUGCGCUUGGCUGUGAUCGUGGCAGUGAUUCUCACCGUGCCAGUGCUGUUUUUCACUGUGCGUUCAUCAUUAUUCGAGAUGGCCAGAAAAACAAAAUUUGACUUAUGCCGUCAUAUUGUGGUUACUUUGGUUCUUUUGGUUAUCAUCAACCUGUUAGUCAUUUUUAUCCCAUCCAUGAAGGAUAUUUUUGGAGUUGUAGGGGUCACUUCUGCCAACAUGCUGAUCUUCAUUCUUCCUUCAUCAUUGUAUAUAAAAAUUACACAGCAGGAUGGAUCAAAGUUGACUCAGAGGAUUUGGGCUUAUCUUUUUUUGGCACUGGGGGUAUUGUUUUCCCUGGUGAGCAUUCCCUUGGUCAUCUAUGACUGGGUACAAUCAGGAGGCAGUGCCGAAGGCCACUGAAGUUCACCUUCUUCCCAAAAGAAGAUACCCCUGUUUGCUACACACCAAAAUCGCAACCAUCCGUUCUGUUGUCUAUUCCACCCUUUGUUUAUACAUUCUUAACAGAAUGCAAUAGACCCUGCUGUAACUGUCAACAUCAGUGAUGGAUGACAAUAUUUGUAUGAGGUUAUCUGUAAAAUGUACUGCUGUUAUUCAGUUCAUUUGGAAUAGUGAACCUGUAGCCGCGAUUGUACGAGUCCCACAUUUUAGCUAGGAUUUUAAGAGCACAGUGAAAUACUGUAGGAGUUUCUCUGUUGUAAAAUUAAUAGGAUCCAGAGUACCAUAUCUACUUAGUAGAUGAUAGCAUGCUUUCUUUUCAUAGAGAGUUUAUCACUAUUGUGAGCACUGCAAAUGUCAUAGACUGUAUGCAAAAUUGCUCCUAAUAAUUGCAACAAAAAUCUUUAAAAUUCUUAUUUGUGUAGUAGCAACAAUCGAGUGGUGAGGGACUAGGAAGGACUAAUUAGAAGCAGGGAUUACUAAUAAGAUUGUAAGAGUUAAUCCUACACUUAAAAGACAGCCUUGCUGCCUGUCCUAGUCCACAGCACAUUGCAAAGAAAAUAGUUAUGGGCUUACAGCAGCCAUAAUACAGCUGCCCUUCUCUGUCCAAUGGCAAACAUGCCUAGGUAGUAAAACACAGUAAAUUGUUAUUUGGGAACAGUGUCUCGGGGCAGUGACCUCUCUGGGUGAUGCGUGCUCCUGGUUAGAGGGCCAGUGCCAAAUCUGUGCACCAGCACAGACCUUCUGUAGAGCUGGCACAGACCAAGGGGUGCCUGGCACAUGUGCAAGCCUAGGGCACAAGAGCUGGUGUCAUCCUGCGAGGUCAGGGAUGAGAAUGCUCAUCCACCCUGAGGGCUGCUCUUCUGAGCCACAUAUGAACCCCAAGCCUGUGCUCCACCUGAAUAGGUCACACAUGCAAGUGUGGGUUGGAAGGUGUGUGGGUUUUGUCUGUACAUCUGCCUUACAAUGCAUAAGCGCAACACAGCUCUCUGAUAUGGAGUAUUAAACAGUAACAAUUAAUGGUAUGUCUAGUUUAUCUAUAAAUUUAUACAUUUCUUUGCUUGAACCUUACAUUAAGGCUAAAGAGCACCUUGGUCAAAACAAAACUUUCAUGUGGUGGUGUCCCACCUCCAGUCCUACUGCCCCACCCCAGUGCCUGUAGGAGAAAGGCACCACAGAAUGUACUCAGCUCCAUCAGCAGCUCCAUGAGAUGGCUUUAUCAGCUGGCGCCACGGUGCUUUCAUAAACAAAUCCCCAGAGCCCUUGGCGUCAGAAAAUCCUUAUUUCCUGUAACGUACAGCAAAGAAUGUUUUAUUUGUAUCUAAUGUAAGGAUUUCUGUAAUGAACUGUGAAAAACAAAAAAAAAGAAAAUGAAUUAAUAAAAGGUACUGGGCUGGAAAGUCUAGAAUUCACAAAUUGUACACAUACCUAUGUUUCUGAAGACAAAUCUAUGCAGUUGUGUUGUAGGAAAUUUCAUUUUUAUGUACAUAUAUAUUGUAAAUAAAUAGGAUGCUGUAUAUUUUUGCAGUUGGUUAUCCCCUAUGAAUGGAAGUGUUAAGAUAGGCUCUGCAUAUUAAGAAUAAUUUUAAUAGAAAUACAAAUACUUUAGCUUCUUAGCAAAAUGUAUAUCCUUUUCUUUCUCCCAAGAGUUCACAAGUUAAAUUCUAAACUUGAAAUUAUAAUUACAUCCCUAAAGUAAAAAGAGAAAUAAAAGGUCCAGUUAAAUUGCUAGGAUUAAUUCCAGUGCAUGACUCCCUGUUUUCUCAACAGCAAGUCUACCAGUCUUCCUGUUGGGUAAAAUAUCUCCCUUGUUAAAGGGCCCCUUUGGUACCCAGAUCCCUCUUACCUUCUCAGCUGGGGUCAGUUGGGAGUAAGGUGCUGAGAAGGGUUUAUGGAAGAAACCAUGGCAAACUGCAGCCAGCAGUUUGACCUAGCAUUAUGCUGUGUUGUAUCCAGGCGUGUAUUUACCCAACUAGUACAAACAGAAGUCAGGGCAGAGCUUCUGCAUUUCCAUUUUCAGCCACCAGAAAUGCCAGUAGUUCAGAAAAAAAAGUAUGGCAAGCCAGGGUUCAGCAGCAACCAGAGCAACUGGUGCCAUUUCCAGCCCCCUCCCUUCCUGCAGAGUCCCGUGGCUGGUCUGCCUCACACUCUGCUGCUCUCAUGCAACCAAAAUGCUGGCACCUGAGGCUGCCAAGAGCUUCCCUGGCCAGGGACUGCUUGCACAUCCCACUCUGUGAACAGGCAGAGGUCAUUGGAUAGCUGUGUCCAGGGGUGAGGGCUGGGUAUCUCCUGAGAGUGCAUCCAUCAGAGGCCUUGCAUAGACUUUCUUACUGGUAAAGCAUGGAAAUGUUUUUUCGGGACUGCUGAAAAAUGGAGGUUAAGAAAUGCAUCUAAAAAGAAUUGUGGGUUUUUUCCAUGUUUACUUUAUGGGCUUGGAUGAAAAUGAAACUUGAAAUAACAUUUGCUUUUAUCAUGAGCACAAAUUUGAGGGGAAAACCCUAUAUACAGUCAGUUCUACAGAACUUUUCAAAUUAAUACCAGUGUAUGUUUUGUUUUCAGUGUUAUAGCCAACAAAAUAUAAACUGAAAAGGUAUUUUUCCACUAGACUUGAACUUUUCAUUGUUUAUAGAAACCUGGUUUUAGUGUCCCAACAUAUGCUAAGGCUCACACAGAUCCAGUAUAAACAAUGUUGUUUGAAUGAUGUAUGCUUCAUACAAGCUCAUGUCUAAUAGAUUGUUGAAGUGAGUCAUCGGUAAUAUUUUGCUCUUUUUAGCACCUGUUAACUUUGUGCUGCUCAUAUCCAAAUAAAAGACACAGUUUUUCAGUUUCUAUGUGUAAAUAAAAUGUAUCAAGUUCUAUGA